GACGAACCGAGCGAACGUUAUUCGGAAUCACUGGGCUUAAAGGGCGCGUAGGCGGGCGGCCAAGUCAGGGGUGAAAGCCCCCAGCUCAACUGGGGAAGUGCCUCUGAUACUGGUCAUCUCGAGGGAGAUAGGGGCGUGCGGAACUUCCGGUGGAGCGGUGAAAUGCGUAGAUAUCGGAAGGAACACCGGUGGCGAAAGCGGCGCGCUGGAUCUCUUCUGACGCUGAGGCGCGAAAGCCAGGGGAGCGAACGGG
RNAcentral lists this ribosomal RNA (253 nucleotides) under uncultured bacterium. RNAcentral's name for it is "partial 16S ribosomal RNA". It matches the Rfam family "Bacterial small subunit ribosomal RNA", at positions 524 to 776 of the family's 1533-position model. The record is from RNAcentral.